RNAcentral lists this unclassified non-coding RNA (533 nucleotides) under Lodderomyces parapsilosis. RNAcentral's name for it is "Candida parapsilosis sequence contains 18S rRNA gene, ITS1, 5.8S rRNA gene, ITS2, 28S rRNA gene". The stretch from base 206 to 359 matches the Rfam family "5.8S ribosomal RNA". Lineage: Eukaryota; Fungi; Ascomycota; Pichiomycetes; Serinales; Debaryomycetaceae. The record is from RNAcentral.
UGGAAGUAAAAGUCGUAACAAGGUUUCCGUAGGUGAACCUGCGGAAGGAUCAUUACAGAAUGAAAAGUGCUUAACUGCAUUUUUUCUUACACAUGUGUUUUUCUUUUUUUGAAAACUUUGCUUUGGUAGGCCUUCUAUAUGGGGCCUGCCAGAGAUUAAACUCAACCAAAUUUUAUUUAAUGUCAACCGAUUAUUUAAUAGUCAAAACUUUCAACAACGGAUCUCUUGGUUCUCGCAUCGAUGAAGAACGCAGCGAAAUGCGAUAAGUAAUAUGAAUUGCAGAUAUUCGUGAAUCAUCGAAUCUUUGAACGCACAUUGCGCCCUUUGGUAUUCCAAAGGGCAUGCCUGUUUGAGCGUCAUUUCUCCCUCAAACCCUCGGGUUUGGUGUUGAGCGAUACGCUGGGUUUGCUUGAAAGAAAGGCGGAGUAUAAACUAAUGGAUAGGUUUUUUCCACUCAUUGGUACAAACUCCAAAACUUCUUCCAAAUUCGACCUCAAAUCAGGUAGGACUACCCGCUGAACUUAAGCAUAUCA